Drosophila elegans is the source of this 732-nucleotide long non-coding RNA. RefSeq lists it as uncharacterized. Lineage: Eukaryota; Metazoa; Arthropoda; Insecta; Diptera; Drosophilidae. The record is from RefSeq and is a predicted model, not a curated record. The transcript is spliced from 3 exons.
CAAAAACUAAGACAAUUGGACGAAAUUGGUGGCUUCGGUGUCCUCGGUGCCCCAAGAAUGAUAUUGGAGGCACACCCCAUUUCCGGCAGACCGGAGUCUAUUCCUGGUGGAUUAGGAUCGGCUCAUCUCACCGCCCAAAGUUACUCACACAACCAUCUCGGUAGCUUCUUUACAUUUAAUUUUGGCAACACUUAAGGCUGAACUCAGACCGUCGCCUAAAUAAGAAGUGGUCAAACCGAUAAUGGAAGGUACAUUUUUAAACGCUUAAAAUUACAAGUGUUUGGGCAAAAACGCCACGGAUGUGAAUUACAUGACACCAAAUUGGAGGCGUUUGCCAACCGGGUCACCUAAUCCUGAGGAGCUCCAAAGGAAAAGAAAGGACGUGCUAAAAGGAUAAGUACGCUAAAUAAAUCCCUUAAUUCAUUAAAUUUCGCAACCCAAUUUUAACGUAGUUUGACGCGCGGCUGGGGUGCGGAAUAAAUGCCUCUACUUCCAGAUUAGAUUUCACAAGUUCAACGUCGGUCAUUGUCGAAGCUGUGCUGCUGGUGGACGACGUGGUCUUCACGACCAGGUUAGGUCCACCUGGUAAGGAUUUCCUUCCCGAAUCUUUUAAAUUUCCGGGGCCCUUUAGAUAGGGUCCCCGGCGGCUUCAAUAUUUAAAAAAAAAAACACUGACAUUUACAAGUUUAGGACUAAUAAAUAACUACUCACUUUGAGUUAUCUAAACACUUA